RNAcentral lists this long non-coding RNA (2834 nucleotides) under Malus domestica (apple). RNAcentral's name for it is "long non-coding RNA (MDOM_LNC017282)". The record is from RNAcentral. Lineage: Eukaryota; Viridiplantae; Streptophyta; Magnoliopsida; Rosales; Rosaceae.
GCCUUUUCUGAUCACUCCCUCUCACAUUUUUCUUCAAAUAUUCACAGCAUGAAUCGCUUUCAAUCUGCCUCCUUUUCGCUCUGCUGAUCCUCUUCUUUGCUCCGAGAACUCAUGCCAUUCGGACAAGCUUCCCGAGCCCGUCUUCCGCAAGAAGCCAACAAGUUUUCAGGCCAUCAGUGACUAGUGCUCCCUCUACCAGAGAUCAUGAAGCCAGAAAUUUCGAGUCCGAGAAGCGAAAGGUUCCGACGGGAUCAAACCCUUUACACAACAAGCGAUGAUCCUUCAAGUUUUUUAAGAACUCCCAUUUCCAGAUAAACACAAAUAUUUAUCUAGCUAGCUUGUUUAAUUAAUUUGUAUUUACAAAAGAUAUAUGCUUCACGAUGUGUAGUUAAUUAGUAGUUAGCUUGAACAUAUAUAGUUGGAGAUUUCUAUAUACCAAAUGAUGAUCAUAUCACAGCAGGCCUUGAAUUUUGAAGCUCCAUUUGUAGAGAUAUUGUACAGAAGGUGGUUGUGAAGGUUUUGAAGAAAACCAUGUAAGGGUUUGAUUCAUAUAGUCUUGUUUGACUGUUAUUUGUUUUUUUCUUUUCUUUCAGAUUGUAUUUUCUUAUGAAUUAUUUAAUUAAUUAAUUUUUCUUUUGGCUUGUUUUAGCUCUACCUGAAAUAGCUACUGCAUGCAUAUAUAAUUUCAUGUUUGCGUUUUGGGAACUUAAAUUGGAUGCAGCUUUGGCCUGCCAAAAUCUGAUACAAUGAGAAGAAUUUGGUUUCACAAGUCCGUCCAUCCAUCUUUGAAAAACGCAGACUACUUGAGUGACUUCCAAACCCAUAAGUAUAGAAUAUUCAAAUUUCCAUCUUAUUCAAUCUUCUGGGUUUUCGUGGUACUUGCACCACACCAAAUAUAAGGCUUCAUAUGAAGCCAGCAUAUUCUUUUAGUGAUCUUAAGUAUGUACUGAUACAUUAUACAUAGUGAUUUUUUCACUCUUGUUCUUCUUCUUGUUUUUUUAGCAUUUGACUGAAUAAAUCAAAGAAUUUAACAAAGAAACAAUGAUACGAAUACAGAGAGAGAAAACAAGAGUGUGAAAAUCAAUAUAUAUACACACACACAUGUGUGUGCCAGGAUCACCAUUGGAAUUUGAGCAUAUGCACAAAAUACAAGAUGAUAUUAUAAAAUGGGUAUGGUCUAAUUGAGUGUGCCUGCUGUGCUGGCUGUUUCUGAGCUUUUUCUAGAACCCAAAUUUGAAUGCAGAGUGUAAAUACCCAUUACUUCAUACAACUACCAUACAAUUAAGAAGAGGGAUACCCCUUACUUACCCCUCCUUGCAGAUGUAAUGGAAUAUAUGUUGAAUCUUUAGGUCCACAAAACCUACAUAACUCAGGUGCACCAAAUGCAGUUGAGGGUUAUCUAUUAACAGCCUUGUCAUAGUAGUACUUUAGAAAUCUCAAAUCCGAUAUGAAUGUUUAAUGUUUAUAGCGCUCUCGAAACCCCUCAAUCAGUGCUCAAACCUCCUCAAAAGAAACUAGGUUAAAUUGAACAUACAGGUCCAAAAUUUCCGAAUUUAACUGUCCUAACCAUGAAUGUAGAAGUGUAAUGUUUUUUAUCUUCAAAAUAUAAUUGACACCAAUGCUCAAGCCCUCUCGAGACCCCUCGAUCAGUGCUCGAGCCUCCAUGGAAGCUGAAAACUAGGUUAUAACUUAUAAGUCUUAAACAUGUUCAAAUUCGGUCUAGUUUUCAAGAUUUCCCGAAUUCAAUUAUUUUCUAACCGUGAAUGUAGAAAUUCGCAGGACUCCUUGGACUUAAUUAAUUAAAUGCAGAUGGAGGAAUAGCUUAGGUGAGGCAGCUUGUGGGAGGUGGGUGUGGUCCACGGUGCGUAAGUGCACCAACUGGCUACGCAUAAGGCAUCCCCACCAGAGCCUUUAUGUACUACUGUGUAUAUAUAUGAAUCUGGUGUAUGUGCGCGUGUAAAUUUGCACUAAUUUUUUAGUUGAGGAAAUUAUUACGUAGUUGAAAAAAUUAGCCUAACAUGAUGGAUUUCAAGUGAAAAGGAAAAUCCAGCAAAUACUUGUCGUCCCACGCACCAACUAUUUGGCUUUUGUGUAUUUGGGAGAUGUAAAACCUCAGAAACCCUAUUACUGGGUCUAAUACAUAUGUAUACACACACACACACACACUUAGAGGGAAUGAACUAAUUUCUUGAAUUGUUACCAGAUCAUAUAUCUAGAUUCUUCAUCGUAAAUAGACGAUUUCUGCAACUUCAACUAGGCCACAUCUGCUAUCAACUUUCUGCAGCCCAAAAUAAACAAGAAUUAAAAAUAAGGAAUUAGAAACACAAGAGAGAUAUUUAACGUCUACCGAUCCAGAUCUAGUUGGACCAGUCAGGAGUGUGAGUUUAACGACCACCUUUCUAGUCGUCGGCGCCAGAUCUAUAUAAACCAUUGAGGAUGAGAGAGAGACCAUUUGUUUUAGAAAUAAUGGCAUGGCCAUCUGAAAAGCAGUCGGAAAGGCUCAAGGACUUAAAAGUUGCCUUUGCUUUUAGCUUCUAGAAAAGAAAAUAAGAACAAAUUAUCUAAGACAACAAAAAGAUUGAAAAGGGCAUAACAAGUGCAAGACUGCAAGUUAAAAGUUAAAAUAUGCAAGGUAUUAAAGUAAAAUCAACUUGAAUAUAGUUGUGAAGUAGCUGAAUAUAUCAAAAUAUAGCCAUGUGAACUCCACGAGUACUGUCACCACGUUUAGCUUUGGUUCCGUUAAAAACAAAAUAAUUAUCAUUAUCUAGGAUUAUAAUAAUUAAAAAAAUUAGUUUGUAAAUUAGAUUGGUGACACCGUUUUUCAGUGGGACAAG